ACAGGUGCUGCAUGGCUGUCGUCAGCUCGUGCCGUGAGGUGUUGGGUUAAGUCCCCCAACGAGCGUAACCCUCGUUGCCAGUUGUUUUCUCUGGCGAGACUGCCCUGCAAACGGGAGGAAGUGGGAUGACGUCAAGUCAGCAUCGCUUAUGCCUUGGGCCACACACACGCUACAAUGGACGGUACAAUAGGUUGCAAUGGAGCGAUUCGGAGCUAAUCCUAAAAGCCGUUCUCAGUUCGGAUUGCAGGCUGAAACCCGCCUGCAUGAAGCCGGAGUUGCUAGUAACCGCAGGUCAGCAUACUGCGGUGAAUACGUUCUCGGGCCUU
This 326-nucleotide ribosomal RNA is filed under the name uncultured Dehalococcoidia bacterium. Its description in RNAcentral is "bacterial SSU rRNA". It matches the Rfam family "Bacterial small subunit ribosomal RNA", at positions 1034 to 1382 of the family's 1533-position model. Lineage: Bacteria; Bacillati; Chloroflexota; Dehalococcoidia. The record is from RNAcentral.